GACACAUGCUCAUGUCCACAUGUCCAAUGUAAACUCGCGAAGAGCGCUUGGAGGCCAAUACUACUAAUGGACUGGGAAUGGAAUCACAGAAAAAAUACUGUUAUGCCAUGACAUUGGACCUGGGAAAAACAUCACCAAGGCAAGCUGAGUUUUUGCGAAAGGAACGCAUGGGAUACAAGAGCCAAAUGGGAUGCUGGCAGGGAUUGCUCGUUUGAAGAAGUCUUUCAAUUAAUGUUUGCAGGGGGAAACAUAGACUAAGACAUCUGCUCCUGCAUGGUGCAUUCUGCCUUGAUGUGGGUUCAGUGGAUCAUCAUCAUCAGUAGAAGCAGCAUCUUCAUCAUCACCAGCAUGACCCCCUCUUCCUCCUCAAGUUGAUUUCUGUGACUGCAAUGUUGUGACUGGAUUUUUUUUAGGAGUUUUGGGGAAAAUCAGUGUGGUGUUCAUAAGUUUUAUCAGCAAAGAUGUUACUGCUUUCACAAUCUUGCUGACCUAAUACUUGCUGAGCCAAAGGCCAUCACCAACCACCUCCAUAAAACUUCCCACAGCACUAAGAACUGCACUGCUGGACUUAAGGCAUAGUUUCUUCUUGUGGCCAUCUGAAGGUGUGGUUUCACAACCUGCAGCAAUUCAAAUCUUGGUCCUUGGAAUCCAGAAUUGUCUUAUGAUAUCAUCAUCAGAUAGAGGGACAAGUGGGUAGAAAUGUGUCCUUAUCUAAGUAUUUAUAUACACUACCUGACUUCUGCAUCGCCUUCUUUGCUCAAGCUGUAGGAUUCUUUGUAAAGCCAUUGUUGAGCAUUUCAUACACACAUGUAUACUGUAUAUGUUAGGAGAGUCAUUAAUACAUCUGCUACUGAUGCACCUGAGGAAUGAAUAGAAACACCUUGGUGGCCAAUAAUCAUUGUUUCAUCAAUGAUUUGUGACGGUAAUAGGGCACAACUUAAUUUAUCAAAUUAUUGCAUUCAUCUGUUAAUGGGUAUUUGGUUUUAAAAUAGGCUUCUUUCAUAUAAAUAGGUUUUUUCUUUCUUCAUUUUUUCAUAGUUUUUAUGCUCUUGCUUGAGAAAAGUAAGGCCUCUCUUUAGAAUUGUCUGAGUAUUUAAAUAAAGGAUGUUCUGUGUCAUGUUUAGCUUAUAUUAUCAUGGCAAGUAUCUUAUGUAUUGAGAAAAUCUUUACAUAUCCAGCUAUAAUGCCUUGUCCACACUAAUACAUUUUCGUUUCAAAACGCAUCUUUUUCUCUCCGUUUUGGCUUUCCGUCCACACUGAGACAGCAUUUUUGUGACAUUGAUCUAUCCAACCAAAACAAUCAAGAUGGCAGCCCGUGUUAUAGCGGCACUGUUGUAACUGAUACUUACUUUGAUAGCAUUGUUAAAAAAUAAAUGUUACUUUGUACAACCAUCAUAUUGCGUUCCUUCAAAGGCGAAGGGAAGUUUACUUGGAAUUGGUGUCCGGCGACAGAACACGAGGACAAUUGCUUUUAAGACCGUACAUGCUAUGGGGAUUUUCAGCAUGCGCAGUAACAUGUUUUAAGCGUUUUCAUAUGUUUCAGUGUGGAAGAGCAACUUUUAGAAAAUGCUUGAAAAUGCUAGUGUGGACAGAGAGCGUUUUGAAACAAAAACACCAUUUUCAAAUGUAUCCUGAUGAAUGUAGUUCUCUCUCUGCCUUAGUUACUUGAAUGUUGUGUAUGUGAUGGUGGGUCAUCACCAUUGCAAAACAAUAAAGGUUUGUAUUUCAUACCAUACAUACGAUUUUUAAUAACACUUACAGUAUAUAAUUUAUUACUGACCUUAUUCUGGUAGUUGAUAAUGAAGUAAUGACGUUGCAUGACAUGAUUCACAAAAUAAUUGCUUGAAGCAGUCCUCAGAUGCCAUGUUCGCUAUUUACAGCAGCGUCAAGGAGAAAUAACGUUGCUAUGGAGCUGCUUACUGACCAAACAGUUUGUAUACUUUAGAAGAGUACGCCACUUACAACAUGCAUAUUAACAUAA
Molecule: long non-coding RNA, 1981 nt
Organism: Xyrauchen texanus (razorback sucker)
Lineage: Eukaryota; Metazoa; Chordata; Actinopteri; Cypriniformes; Catostomidae
Exons: 4
Source: RefSeq, a predicted model, not a curated record